UGGGCAAGGGGCCGCCAGAGGGCUUGCUCCACCGUUUCAGGACCUCCAGCCAGAAGCACUGAGGGGUGAGGGGACCCCGUGAGGAGAAAUUCAGUUCAGCACUAGAGUUGACAGCAACACUUCAGUAACUCAUGGCACAAUCUCCCCUGUGCAGACAUCACAGAGGCAAUGCUUGUGAAACACAGAGAAGUUUCGACAGUGCUGGAAUUGGAACUAUUGCUCAAGGUCCAUCAGAAGCUCCCGUGCCAUGUGUGCUGGCUGCGUGUGCCACAGCUGCUUCGCGCCCACCUCCAGCCUGCGCUCUGGGCGAUGGGUGUCCGGCUGGCAAGGGAAUCCCAGCAGGCUGCUCCGAGCUGUAGGAAUACACUCCUUCAUGGAAGGACAGUCAGACCACAGGAUCAGGAGACCCACCCCCGGGACAGCAGGGGCUCCUGGAAGCAAGGAAGUGCCAAGAAAUGGUUGCGGGGUAGGGCAGCCCAUUCACUGUUCACCCCUGAGCAUCAGCCUGGGGGCUUUGUGUUUCAGUAAAUGAG
Molecule: non-coding RNA, 533 nt
Organism: Delphinapterus leucas (beluga whale)
Lineage: Eukaryota; Metazoa; Chordata; Mammalia; Artiodactyla; Monodontidae
Source: RefSeq, a predicted model, not a curated record